Molecule: ribosomal RNA, 482 nt
Filed under: uncultured bacterium
Lineage: Bacteria
Description: partial 16S ribosomal RNA
Rfam family: Bacterial small subunit ribosomal RNA
Source: RNAcentral
AUUGAACGCUGGCGGCAUGCCUUACACAUGCAAGUCGAACGGUAACGGGCCUUCGGGUGCCGACGAGUGGCGAACGGGUGAGUAAUACAUCGGAACGUGCCCGAUCGUGGGGGAUAACGAGGCGAAAGCUUUGCUAAUACCGCAUACGAUCUACGGAUGAAAGCAGGGGACCGCAAGGCCUUGCGCGGACGGAGCGGCCGAUGGCAGAUUAGGUAGUUGGUGGGAUAAAAGCUUACCAAGCCGACGAUCUGUAGCUGGUCUGAGAGGAUGAUCAGCCACACUGGGACUGAGACACGGCCCAGACUCCUACGGGAGGCAGCAGUGGGGAAUUUUGGACAAUGGGCGCAAGCCUGAUCCAGCCAUGCCGCGUGCAGGAUGAAGGCCUUCGGGUUGUAAACUGCUUUUGUACGGAACGAAAAGCCUUCUUUUAAUACAGGAGGGUCAUGACGGUACCGUAAGAAUAAGCACCGGCUAACUACAUG